AUACGGAGGGUGCAAGCGUUAUCCGGAUUUAUUGGGUUUAAAGGGUGCGUAGGCGGAAAUAUAAGUCAGUGGUGAAAUCUUGCAGCUUAACUGUAAAACUGCCAUUGAUACUGUGUUUCUUGAGUAUAGUUGAGGUAGGCGGAAUGUGUAAUGUAGCGGUGAAAUGCUUAGAUAUUACACAGAACACCGAUUGCGUAGGCAGCUUACUAAACUAUAACUGACGCUGAGGCACGAAAGCGCGGGGAGCGAACAGGAUUAGAAACCCCGGUAGUCC
RNAcentral lists this ribosomal RNA (274 nucleotides) under uncultured bacterium. RNAcentral's name for it is "partial 16S ribosomal RNA". It matches the Rfam family "Bacterial small subunit ribosomal RNA", at positions 523 to 796 of the family's 1533-position model. The record is from RNAcentral.